Molecule: ribosomal RNA, 254 nt
Filed under: bacterium
Lineage: Bacteria
Also listed under: 2 other names
Description: partial 16S ribosomal RNA
Rfam family: Bacterial small subunit ribosomal RNA
Source: RNAcentral
UACGAAGGGGGCUAGCGUUGCUCGGAAUCACUGGGCGUAAAGCGCACGUAGGUGGGUCGUUAAGUCGGGGGUGAAAUCCCAGAGCUCAACUCUGGAACUGCCUUCGAUACUGGCGACCUUCGAGUUCGGGAGAGGUGAGUGGAACUGCGAGUGUAGAGGUGAAAUUCGUAGAUAUUCGCAAGAACACCAGUGGCGAAGGCGGCUCACUGGCCCGAUACUGACACUGAGGUGCGAAAGCGUGGGGAGCAAACAGG